This 301-nucleotide ribosomal RNA is filed under the name uncultured bacterium. RNAcentral describes it as "partial 16S ribosomal RNA". It matches the Rfam family "Archaeal small subunit ribosomal RNA", at positions 459 to 759 of the family's 1478-position model. The record is from RNAcentral.
CAGCCGCCGCGGUAAUACCGGCAGCACGAGUGAUGACCGCUAUUAUUGGGCCUAAAGCGUCCGUAGCUGGCCACGCAAGUCCGUCGGGAAAUCCGCGCGCUUAACGCGCGGGCGUCCGGUGGAAACUGUGUGGCUUGGGACCGGAAGAUCCAGAGGGUACGUCCGGGGUAGGAGUGAAAUCCCGUAAUCCUGGACGGACCACCGGUGGCGAAAGCGCUCUGGAAAGACGGAUCCGACGGUGGGGGACGAAAGCUCGGGUCACGAACCGGAUUAGAUACCCCCGUAGUCCCUGUCUCUUAUA